Molecule: ribosomal RNA, 272 nt
Filed under: uncultured bacterium
Lineage: Bacteria
Description: partial 16S ribosomal RNA
Rfam family: Bacterial small subunit ribosomal RNA
Source: RNAcentral
UGUUGGUAUCUUAGUGGCGGACGGGGUGAGUAACGCGUGGGUAACCUGCCUUACACUGGGGGAUAACACUUAGAAAUAGGUGCUAAUACCGCAUAACAGGGAAAGAUGCAUGUCUUUUCCUUAAAAACUCCGGUGGUGUAAGAUGGACCCGCGUCUGAUUAGCUUGUUGGCGGGGUAACGGCCCACCAAGGCGACGAUCAGUAGCCGGCCUGAGAGGGUGAACGGCCACAUUGGGACUGAGACACGGCCCAAACUCCUACGGGAGGCAGCAG